GUGGGGUACGGGGAUAUGACCCCCAAAACCUACCUCGGCAUGUUGGUGGGAUCAGUCUGUGCCCUAACUGGAGUUUUAACUAUCGCACUACCCGUUCCUGUGAUCGUCAGCAAU
Molecule: regulatory RNA element, 114 nt
Organism: Helobdella robusta
Lineage: Eukaryota; Metazoa; Annelida; Clitellata; Rhynchobdellida; Glossiphoniidae
Rfam family: Potassium channel RNA editing signal
About the family: This family represents a group of sequences related to the human potassium channel Kv1.1 hairpin element which directs the efficient modification of an adenosine to inosine by an adenosine deaminase acting on RNA (ADAR). The ADAR modification causes an isoleucine/valine recoding event which lies in the ion-conducting pore of the potassium channel. It is thought that this editing event targets the process of fast inactivation and allows a more rapid recovery from inactivation at negative potentials.
Source: Rfam